GCGGGAGGAGGAGCCGGAAGGCUCCGGCUCCUUGCCCUUGUCGGAGGUAGAGUCACGGCGGCGGCGGGAGGAGGAAGAGUCGUCCAUGGGGGGAUUGCGGGGGCGACGAGAUCGGGCAGCGGAGGAAGGGGGAGGGGAGGAAGUAGAGGAGGAGGUACGGGAUCGCUUGGUGGCGCGGGUGGUGGGCGGCGUGGAUGAGGAGGCCUCCGCCCGCUUGCGGCUCCGCGUUUCCAUACACGAAGGGGCCGGUCCUCGCCUGGCCGGCGGCGGAGAAGGAUCAGGAGGAUCCGGGCAUGGAGGAUCGGGGCGGCGA
Molecule: unclassified non-coding RNA, 313 nt
Filed under: Hevea brasiliensis (rubber tree)
Lineage: Eukaryota; Viridiplantae; Streptophyta; Magnoliopsida; Malpighiales; Euphorbiaceae
Source: RNAcentral